CUAGUACUCCCUCAGUCCCAAUUUUUUGUCUUAUAUUUGUCUAAAUACGGAUGUAUCAAGUCAUGUUUUAGUAUUAGGUACACCCGUAUCUAGACAAAUGCAAGACAAGAAUUUUGGGACGGAGGGAGUAUUGA
This is a non-coding RNA of Triticum aestivum (bread wheat), 134 nucleotides long. NCBI's taxonomy places the organism in Eukaryota, Viridiplantae, Streptophyta, Magnoliopsida, Poales, Poaceae. The record is from Rfam.